Molecule: ribosomal RNA, 325 nt
Filed under: uncultured eukaryote
Lineage: Eukaryota
Description: partial 18S ribosomal RNA
Rfam family: Eukaryotic small subunit ribosomal RNA
Source: RNAcentral
CCCUUAGAUGUUCUGGGCCGCACGCGCGCUACACUGAUGCAUUCAACAAGUUCUACCUUGGCCGAGAGGCCUGGGAAAUCUUUCAAAUAUGUAUCGUGAUAGGGAUAGGUUAUUGCAAUUAUUAAUCUUGAACGAGGAAUUCCUAGUAAAUGCAGAUCAUCAUUCUGCGUUGAUUACGUCCCUGCCCUUUGUACACACCGCCCGUCGCACCUACCGAUUGAAUGAUCCGGUGAAGCCUCGGGAUUGUGCCCAGAGAACUUUAUUGUGAUUUGGGUGUGAGAACUUGUCUAAACCUUAUCAUUUAGAGGAAGGUGAAGUCGUAACA